This 45-nucleotide non-coding RNA is filed under the name Schistosoma mansoni. Lineage: Eukaryota; Metazoa; Platyhelminthes; Trematoda; Strigeidida; Schistosomatidae. The record is from RNAcentral.
AUCCAGCUGACGAGUCCCUAAUAGGACGAAACGCGUGUCCUCGAU